Molecule: non-coding RNA, 940 nt
Organism: Bemisia tabaci
Lineage: Eukaryota; Metazoa; Arthropoda; Insecta; Hemiptera; Aleyrodidae
Source: RefSeq, a predicted model, not a curated record
CGGACGGCCCCUUGUAAAAAAAUACAUGCCCCGUCAAAAGCAAUAUAUGAUGUGGCUUGGUUCCUUUCUUCUAAACACGGUUUAUUUAAUACUAGUUUUGUUUUACAUCACUAACGACUCAAUUUUUCAAAAACUCCACUAGAGCCCUCGUCCUACGAUCAAAUGAACUCAUCAAAUGCAAGAUGGCGGGUUCAUCAACAUUUGACGGCCCGCUAAGAUUUGAUAGCGGACUUGCACGAAAACCAGUCGCAAUCUUGCAUUUGAUGACUAUUUGAUGAGUUCAUUUGAUCGUGGGACAAGGGCUUUAUGUGACUUGUCCUCGAAGCCGCUAUUUUAUAGUAUCGUUUUUUAGUUAGUAUUCUCCGAUACUGAGUGAAAUCUUUGGCCGCGUCCACACGAGCCCAGUUCCCGGAACUUUUGAGCGAAUUAGUUCAACGACCUGGGGUUUUGCAGAUUAAGUUAUAGCAGAGUUACAGUAAGUUUCGGGAACAAGUUCGCCCGAAAAUCCUCGAAUUUUGUUCGCGUGGACAAGGCCUAAGUAUAUAUAAAUACUUCAAAUGGUGAAAAUAGGGUUAAUCGCUGUUGAUGAACAUCCAUGUAACUUUUUUCGCAGGCUAUUCCGCAGGAUACUCCGCAUGUCAUUCCAAAAACAGUUCCUCAAGUUGAACCAAAGGUUAUUGAAAGAAGUUUCGGGCAUCUUGUAAAUGGGCUCAUAGGCAUAGAACUUUGGCGACGGGAGAUUCUAGCCAACGCUCUGGAAAACCCUAAAUACAAGGAAAACGCCCCCCUGAUCGCAAGCUUUCAACUUCUGAGCCAAGUUGAUUCUUACCUAAUUAAAGCACGAAAAUAUUAUCAAUCUAUCAAUAGACUCAUUCACUCUGACGAAAACUCAUUGGAUGCAAAACAGACUGUCGCGACUAUUGGCAAACUGAGAGAAAAA